RNAcentral lists this ribosomal RNA (604 nucleotides) under Escherichia coli. RNAcentral describes it as "partial 23S ribosomal RNA". It matches the Rfam family "Bacterial large subunit ribosomal RNA", at positions 634 to 1239 of the family's 2925-position model. The record is from RNAcentral. Lineage: Bacteria; Pseudomonadati; Pseudomonadota; Gammaproteobacteria; Enterobacterales; Enterobacteriaceae.
UCUGUAGCAAGGUUAACCGAAUAGGGGAGCCGAAGGGAAACCGAGUCUUAACCGGGCGUUAAGUUGCAGGGUAUAGACCCGAAACCCGGUGAUCUAGCCAUGGGCAGGUUGAAGGUUGGGUAACACUAACUGGAGGACCGAACCGACUAAUGUUGAAAAAUUAGCGGAUGACUUGUGGCUGGGGGUGAAAGGCCAAUCAAACCGGGAGAUAGCUGGUUCUCCCCGAAAGCUAUUUAGGUAGCGCCUCGUGAAUUCAUCUCCGGGGGUAGAGCACUGUUUCGGCAAGGGGGUCAUCCCGACUUACCAACCCGAUGCAAACUGCGAAUACCGGAGAAUGUUAUCACGGGAGACACACGGCGGGUGCUAACGUCCGUCGUGAAGAGGGAAACAACCCAGACCGCCAGCUAAGGUCCCAAAGUCAUGGUUAAGUGGGAAACGAUGUGGGAAGGCCCAGACAGCCAGGAUGUUGGCUUAGAAGCAGCCAUCAUUUAAAGAAAGCGUAAUAGCUCACUGGUCGAGUCGGCCUGCGCGGAAGAUGUAACGGGGCUAAACCAUGCACCGAAGCUGCGGCAGCGACACUGUGUGUUGUUGGGUAGGGGAGCGU